RNAcentral lists this ribosomal RNA (228 nucleotides) under uncultured bacterium. RNAcentral describes it as "partial 16S ribosomal RNA". It matches the Rfam family "Bacterial small subunit ribosomal RNA", at positions 103 to 334 of the family's 1533-position model. The record is from RNAcentral.
CGGGUGAGUAAUGUAUGGGGAUCUGCCUGAUGGCGGGGGAUAACUACUGGAAACGGUAGCUAAUACCGCAUAAUGUCUGCGGACCAAAGCGGGGGACCUCCGGGCCUCGCGCCAUCAGAUGAACCCAUAUGGGAUUAGCUAGUAGGUAAGGUAACGGCUUACCUAGGCGACGAUCCCUAGCUGGUCUGAGAGGAUGAUCAGCCACACUGGGACUGAGGCACGGCCCAG